AUACGUAGGUGACAAGCGUUAUCCGGAUUUACUGGGUGUAAAGGGCGUGUAGGCGGUUUAGCAAGUCAGAAGUGAAAUUCCCGGGCUUAACUUGGGCGCUGCUUCUGAAACUGCUUUACUUGAGUGCUGGAGAGGAUAGUGGAAUUCCUAGUGUAGCGGUAAAAUGCGCAGAUAUUAGGAGGAACACCGGUGGCGAAGGCGGCUAUCUGGACAGUAACUGACGCUGAGGCGCGAAAGCACGGGGAGCAAACAGGAUUAGAUACCCUGGUAGUCCGUGCCGUAAACGAUGAAUACUAGGUGUAGGGGGUAUCGACUCCCUCUGUGCCGCAGUUAACACAAUAAGUAUUCCGCCUGGGGAGUACGGCCGCAAGGUUGAAACUCAAAUGAAUUGACGGGG
This 397-nucleotide ribosomal RNA is filed under the name uncultured bacterium. Its description in RNAcentral is "partial 16S ribosomal RNA". It matches the Rfam family "Bacterial small subunit ribosomal RNA", at positions 523 to 918 of the family's 1533-position model. The record is from RNAcentral.